ACGAACGCUGGCGGCAGGCCUAACACAUGCAAGUCGAGCGAGGACUUCGGUUCUAGCGGCGGACGGGUGAGUAACGCGUGGGAAUGUGCCCUUCUCUACGGAAUAGCCCUGGGAAACUGGGAGUAAUACCGUAUACGCCCUAUUGGGGAAAGAUUUAUCGGAGAAGGAUCAGCCCGCGUUGGAUUAGGUAGUUGGUGGGGUAAUGGCUUACCAAGCCGACGAUCCAUAGCUGGUUUGAGAGGAUGAUCAGCCACACUGGGACUGAGACACGGCCCAGACUCCUACGGGAGGCAGCAGUGGGGAAUCUUAGACAAUGGGGGCAACCCUGAUCUAGCCAUGCCGCGUGAGUGAUGAAGGCCUUAGGGUUGUAAAGCUCUUUCAGCUGGGAAGAUAAUGACGGUACCAGCAGAAGAAGCCCCGGCUAACUCCGUG
RNAcentral lists this ribosomal RNA (432 nucleotides) under uncultured bacterium. Its description in RNAcentral is "partial 16S ribosomal RNA". It matches the Rfam family "Bacterial small subunit ribosomal RNA", at positions 29 to 507 of the family's 1533-position model. The record is from RNAcentral.